GCGCGAAAACUUUACAAUGCGGGAAACCGUGAUAAGGGAACUCCGAGUGCCCGUAAAAUCGGGCUGUCCAUCUGUUUAAAUAACAGGUGAAGAAAGGGCCGGGCAAGACCGGUGC
RNAcentral lists this ribosomal RNA (115 nucleotides) under uncultured archaeon. RNAcentral's name for it is "partial 16S ribosomal RNA". It matches the Rfam family "Archaeal small subunit ribosomal RNA", at positions 339 to 458 of the family's 1478-position model. The record is from RNAcentral.